This 78-nucleotide small RNA is filed under the name Xanthomonas oryzae pv. oryzae. RNAcentral's name for it is "sX9 sRNA". It matches the Rfam family "Xanthomonas sRNA sX9". The record is from RNAcentral. Lineage: Bacteria; Pseudomonadati; Pseudomonadota; Gammaproteobacteria; Lysobacterales; Lysobacteraceae.
AUGUACCGCGCGUCCACUGCGGUUGUGAGCGCGCCCUCCGCGCCCACCUGACAGCUGCUCGCGACGUUUUUGUUAGAA